AGCAGCCGCGGUAAUUCCAGCUCCAAUAGCGUAUAUUAAAGUUGUUGCAGUUAAAAAGCUCGUAGUUGAAUUUCAGGCCUGGCUGGGCGGUCCGCCUUUUGGGUGAGUACUGCCUGUGGUCGGGUCCUACCUUCUGGCGAAGCGUCAUGGCCUUAACCGGCCGUGGCGGGGAACCAGGACUUUUACUGUGAAAAAAUUAGAAUGUUCAAAGCAGGCAUUCGCUUGAAUACAUUAGCAUGGAAUAAUGGAAUAGGACAGUGGUUCUAUUUGUUGGUUUCUAGGACCGUUGUAAUGAUUAAUAGGGAUAGUUGGGGGCAUUAGUAUUCAAUUGUCAGAGGUGAAAUUCUUGGAUUUAUUGAAGACUAACUACUGCGAAAGCAUUUGCCAAGGAUGUUUUCAUUAAUCAAGAACGAAAGUUAGGGGAUCGAAGACGAUCAGAUACCGUCGUAG
Molecule: ribosomal RNA, 450 nt
Filed under: uncultured Glomeromycotina
Lineage: Eukaryota; Fungi; Glomeromycota
Description: SSU rRNA
Rfam family: Eukaryotic small subunit ribosomal RNA
Source: RNAcentral